UAGGGAAUUUUCCACAAUGGGCGAAAGCCUGAUGGAGCAACGCCGCGUGCAGGAUGAAGGCCCUUGGGUUGUAAACUGCUUUUAUGAGUGACGAAUAUGACGGUAACUCAUGAAUAAGGACCGGCUAACUCCGUGCCAGCAGCCGCGGUCAUACGGAGGGUCCAAGCGUUAUCCGGAAUUACUGGGCGUAAAGAGUUGCGUAGGUGGCAUAGUAAGUAGAUAGUGAAAGCGUGGGGCUCAACCUCAUAUCCAUUAUCUAAACUGCUAAGCUAGAGGGCGAGAGAGGUUACUAGAAUUCCUUGUGUAGGAGUGAAAUCCGUAGAUAUAAGGAGGAAUACCGAUGGCGUAGGCAGGUAACUGGCUCGUCCCUGACACUAAGGCACGAAAGCGUGGGUAGCAAACGGGAUUAGAUACCCCCGUAGUCC
This 425-nucleotide ribosomal RNA is filed under the name uncultured bacterium. RNAcentral describes it as "bacterial SSU rRNA". It matches the Rfam family "Bacterial small subunit ribosomal RNA", at positions 355 to 796 of the family's 1533-position model. The record is from RNAcentral.